CGGAACAUAGCGCAAUGGUAGAGCGCACGGAUUAUAUCCGGGUGGUUGUAGGUUCGAGUCCUACUGUUCCCA
Molecule: transfer RNA, 72 nt
Filed under: virus sp. ctah610
Description: tRNA-Ile
Rfam family: tRNA
About the family: Transfer RNA (tRNA) molecules are approximately 80 nucleotides in length. Their secondary structure includes four short double-helical elements and three loops (D, anti-codon, and T loops).
Source: RNAcentral